RNAcentral lists this ribosomal RNA (725 nucleotides) under uncultured bacterium. RNAcentral's name for it is "bacterial SSU rRNA". It matches the Rfam family "Bacterial small subunit ribosomal RNA", at positions 55 to 794 of the family's 1533-position model. The record is from RNAcentral.
AUGCAAGUCGAGCGAAUGAAGUUCCUUCGGGAACGGAUUUAGCGGCGGACGGGUGAGUAACACGUGGGCAACCUGCCUCAUAGAGGGGAAUAGCCUUCCGAAAGGGAGAUUAAUACCGCAUAAGAUUGUAGUACCGCAUGGUACAGCAAUUAAAGGAGCAAUCCGCUAUGAGAUGGGCCCGCGGCGCAUUAGCUAGUUGGUGAGGUAACGGCUCACCAAGGCGACGAUGCGUAGCCGACCUGAGAGGGUGAUCGGCCACAUUGGGACUGAGACACGGCCCAGACUCCUACGGGAGGCAGCAGUGGGGAAUAUUGCACAAUGGGGGAAACCCUGAUGCAGCAACGCCGCGUGAGGGAAGACGGUUUUCGGAUUGUAAACCUCUGUCUUUGGUGAAGAAUAAAUGACGGUAGCCGAGGAGGAAGCCACGGCUAACUACGUGCCAGCAGCCGCGGUAAUACGUAGGUGGCGAGCGUUGUCCGGAAUUAUUGGGCGUAAAGGGCGCGUAGGCGGCUUAUCAAGUCUGAUGUGAAAGUGCGGGGCUUAACCCCGUAAAGCAUUGGAAACUGGUAAGCUUGAGGGCAGGAGAGGAAAGUGGAAUUCCUAGUGUAGCGGUGAAAUGCGUAAAGAUUAGGAGGAACACCAGUGGCGAAGGCGACUUUCUGGACUGCACCUGACGCUGAGGCGCGAAAGCGUGGGUAGCGAACAGGAUUAGAUACCCUGGUAGU